Molecule: ribosomal RNA, 775 nt
Filed under: uncultured Neocallimastigales
Lineage: Eukaryota; Fungi; Neocallimastigomycota; Neocallimastigomycetes; Neocallimastigales
Description: partial large subunit ribosomal RNA
Rfam family: Eukaryotic large subunit ribosomal RNA (bases 7-694)
Source: RNAcentral
CAUCACUACGCUAGAUGCAUAUCAAUAAGCGGAGGAAAAGAAACUAACAAGGAUUCCCCUAGUAACGGCGAGUGAAGCGGGAAGAGCUCAAAUUUGAAAUCUUCAAGGGUUUACCUUUACGAAUUGUAGUUUAAAGAAGUGUUUUCUGUUGAAGUUUCGGUAAAAGUUCUUUGGAAUAGGACAUCAUAGAGGGUGAGAAUCCCGUAUUUGACCAUUAUUUUCAGCUGUGUGAUACACUUUCAAAGAGUCGGAUUGUUUGGGAAUGCAGUCCAAAAUGGGUGGUAAAUUUCAUCUAAAGCUAAAUAUUGGCGAGAGACCGAUGGCGAACAAGUACCGUGAGGGAAAGAUGAAAAGAACUUUGAAAAGAGAGUUAAACAGUACGUGAAAUUGUCAAAAGGGAAGCGUUUGACACCAGUGUUGUUUUCUCGAAAAUCAAUUCAUGAUGGCUUGGUGCUAGGUUGUUAAGACUUUAUCAGCUUACUGUCUAGUUUUCUUGUCUUUGUGAAUGCACUUUUUCGUUUAACAAGUCAACAUCAAUUUCUUUUGUUGUAAAAGAGUCAUUGGAAGGUGGCUUUUUCUUCGGAAAAAGUGUUUAUAGCCUUUGGCUUCUGCAAUCGGAGAGAUUGAGGUCUGCAGCGUAGAUCCUUCGGGGUUAGAUACAUUUGUGCUAAGCUAUAGUUCUUUAUAGACAACUUGUUGGCUAUAAUCAAUCCUGUAACUUACUCGCUUAUGCUAUUUUACCUACGCUUAGGAUGUUGACACACGCGCGUGCUCG